RNAcentral lists this ribosomal RNA (468 nucleotides) under uncultured bacterium. RNAcentral describes it as "partial 16S ribosomal RNA". It matches the Rfam family "Bacterial small subunit ribosomal RNA", at positions 28 to 507 of the family's 1533-position model. The record is from RNAcentral.
GACGAACGCUGGCGGCGUGCUUAACACAUGCAAGUCGAACGGAAAGGCCCUGCUUUUGUGGGGUGCUCGAGUGGCGAACGGGUGAGUAACACGUGAGUAACCUGCCCUUGACUUUGGGAUAACUUCAGGAAACUGGGGCUAAUACCGGAUAGGAGCUCCUGCUGCAUGGUGGGGGUUGGAAAGUUUCGGCGGUUGGGGAUGGACUCGCGGCUUAUCAGCUUGUUGGUGGGGUAGUGGCUUACCAAGGCUUUGACGGGUAGCCGGCCUGAGAGGGUGACCGGCGACAUUGGGACUGAGAUACGGCCCAGACGCCUACGGGAGGCAGCAGGGGGGAAUAUGGCAGAAUGGGCGGAAGCCAGAUGCAGCAACGCCGCGUGCGGGAUGACGGCCUUCGGGUUGUAAACCACUUUCGCCGGUGACGAAGCGUGAGUGACGGUAAUGGGUAAAGAAGCACCGGCUAACUACGUG